RNAcentral lists this ribosomal RNA (492 nucleotides) under uncultured bacterium. RNAcentral's name for it is "partial 16S ribosomal RNA". It matches the Rfam family "Bacterial small subunit ribosomal RNA", at positions 29 to 507 of the family's 1533-position model. The record is from RNAcentral.
AGUGAACGCUGGCGGUAGGCCUAACACAUGCAAGUCGAACGGCAGCACAGUAAGAGCUUGCUCUUACGGGUGGCGAGUGGCGGACGGGUGAGGAAUACAUCGGAAUCUACUUUUUCGUGGGGGAUAACGUAGGGAAACUUACGCUAAUACCGCAUACGACCUACGGGUGAAAGCAGGGGAUCUUCGGACCUUGCGCGAUUGAAUGAGCCGAUGUCGGAUUAGCUAGUUGGCGGGGUAAAGGCCCACCAAGGCGACGACCCGUAGCUGGUCUGAGAGGAUGAUCAGCCACACUGGAACUGAGACACGGUCCAGACUCCUACGGGAGGCAGCAGUGGGGAAUAUUGGACAAUGGGCGCAAGCCUGAUCCAGCCAUACCGCGUGGAUGAAGAAGGCCUUCGGGUUGUAAAGCCCUUUUGUUGGGAAAGAAAAGCAGCAGGUUAAUACCCCGCUGUUCUGACGGUACCCAAAGAAUAAGCACCGGCUAACUUCGUG